Molecule: unclassified non-coding RNA, 195 nt
Filed under: plant metagenome
Description: partial contains small subunit ribosomal RNA and internal transcribed spacer 1
Rfam family: Eukaryotic small subunit ribosomal RNA (bases 1-46)
Source: RNAcentral
AAGUCGUAACAAGGUUUCCGUAGGUGAACCUGCGGAAGGAUCAUUACUGGGUAAACGAGCGCCCCGGCGCUCACCCCCCCACCCUGUGCUCACCCGUCCAACACUCGGCGUCAGGCGGGGCCCCCCAGGGCCCCUCCGGCCGACAUCAAACCCAGAACAACGGUGCCGCCUGAAGUGACAAGCAAAUAGUCAAAA